This 74-nucleotide transfer RNA is filed under the name Chloroflexota bacterium. Its description in RNAcentral is "tRNA-Gln". It matches the Rfam family "tRNA". Rfam says of the family: Transfer RNA (tRNA) molecules are approximately 80 nucleotides in length. Their secondary structure includes four short double-helical elements and three loops (D, anti-codon, and T loops). The record is from RNAcentral. Lineage: Bacteria; Bacillati; Chloroflexota.
UGGCGGAUCGUUCAAGGGUAGGACUGCGGAUUUUGGAUCCGCCAAUCUAGGUUCGAAUCCUAGUCCGCCAGCCA